AUUGAACGCUGGCGGCAGGCCUAACACAUGCAAGUCGAACGAGUGGCGGACGGGUGAGUAAUGUCUUGGAAACUGCCUGAUGGAGGGGGAUAACAACUGGAAACGGUAGCUAAUACAGCAUACCAUCGGAUGUGCCCAGAUGGGCAUAGCUAGUAGGGGGGGUAAAGGCUCACCUAGGCGACGAUCCCUAGCUGGUCUGAGAGGCAGAUCCGCCACACGGGAACGAAGACACGGUCCAGCCUCCUACGGGAGGCAGCAGUGGGGAAUAUUGCACAAUGGGCGCAAGCCUGAUGCAGCCAUGCCGCGUGUAUGAAGAAGGCCUUCGGGUUGUAAAGUACUUUCAGCGGGGAGGCGUUACCCGCAGAAGAAGCACCGGCUAACUCCGUGCCAGCAGCCGCGGUAAUUC
This 406-nucleotide ribosomal RNA is filed under the name uncultured bacterium. RNAcentral describes it as "partial 16S ribosomal RNA". It matches the Rfam family "Bacterial small subunit ribosomal RNA", at positions 30 to 526 of the family's 1533-position model. The record is from RNAcentral.